CCGUAGCCCAAGAGAUCGGGAUAACACCUGGGAACAGAUGCUAAUACCGGAUAACAACAGAUGAUGCCUAUCAACUGUUUAAAAGAUGGUUCUGCUAUCACUCUUGGAUGGACCUGCGGUGCAUUAGCUAGUUGGUAGGGUAACGGCCUACCAAGGCGAUGAUGCAUAGCCGAGUUGAGAGACUGAUCGGCCACAUUGGGACUGAGACACGGCCCAAACUCCUACGGGAGGCAGCAGAC
Molecule: ribosomal RNA, 239 nt
Filed under: uncultured Lactobacillus sp.
Lineage: Bacteria; Bacillati; Bacillota; Bacilli; Lactobacillales; Lactobacillaceae
Description: partial 16S ribosomal RNA
Rfam family: Bacterial small subunit ribosomal RNA
Source: RNAcentral